GCUCGGGGCCGGCGGGGGCGCGAGGGGGCCGCGGCCGCAGCCGAAGUUGGGCCGAGAGCCGGCCACGGCCCCGUGCCGGGGUCGCAGGGUGCCAGGCUGUGCAGAGUUCCUCGGACAGACUUCUGGAUGUCGCCAAGCUGAGGGCAGCCCUGGGCAGGCACGGGUGUUGUGGCCAGACCCUCGGCCAUUCUCACUGGAGCCUCCAGGGCCAGCCUCCUGAGGGGCAUCUCUGGGAACUUUCUUAAGGAAGAGAGUGACAGACUUGGCUUUUCUGUGCAUUCCUGUCCCUUCAGCGAGGCCACUAAGGGAGUCAGGAUGCCGAGGACCAUUUGUGGUGUCCAGCGACCUGCACCUGCCUAUCUGCCAGGCCUGCCUUGACUGCUGGGUGUUAGAACAGCCUCAAGGCCUGUGGGCGCCAGGACGCCUGGGGCAGGCCCCGUCCCCAUCCUGGGCAGCGGGGGUUGACAGCUGGAGCUGAGAGAGGCAGCUUAGUCAGGGCCUUGCCUGGACUUGGAUUUGCCUUUGGAGGGACCCUGUCCUAACAGUCAGGGUGGCGUAUUGUGUCACACCCAGGAGGCUUGGCCAGGCCAGGGGCUGCAGGUGACGGGGUGGCUGUGGGUGGUCUUGGGCUUGAGAACCAGCCGAGCUGAUUUGCUGCCAUGGGGCAACAACUUACUGUGGGCGACCCUCAGUGGACCCUGGUGUCCUCAGCCAGCCAUGGAGGGCAUUCUGCGCUGGGGGCCAGCAGGAACUCUGAGGUCAGUAGGGGCUCCAGCGUCCUCCCCCAUCACAGCCUGGCCCUGCAGAGCGACAAUGACGAUGCUGCCUCCGCCCGUACUUACACCAGGCAGGGUCCGGCCUCAGCUCAUGUGGGGAGCUGGCCUGGCCUGGCUCGGUCCUGCCCUGCCGUGGACUGGACGUCUGCGGGGAGCUGGGCCUUUCCGCACCUCCGCACAUCUCAUGUCGUCGUUUUCAAUGAGCUUAAAACUCAAGUAAACUUUUCACCAACUCAGAGGUUUGCUUAGUGAUCUGAAGCACUUUUGGGAACUUUUUGGGGGUUUGAGAUUUUGUCCACCUGGAACAGCCAGAGAGGAGGAAGGUUUUACCCCCUUGCUCACCCCAGAGAGCAGUGGCUGCCUGAGGACCCCUCCGAGGUGGAGAAGAGGGCUCACGAGCUUCCUCAGAGCCAGCAGCAGACCAGGGACAGGUGGCUUCAGAAGGAACAGGUGUUCCCUGAAAACAGACACAGGAGACCGCGGUGUGCGAGAUCUGGCAGCUCUGUGCCUGCUUCCCUUUGUCGGGUGGGGAGGCGCAUGACAGCGGGAGGGUGUAGGCUAAUGCUGCCCCAUGCCCUGUGUGUGUAGGGUGGUCCCUGGGUGGCACCUGGCUUCGACCCUGCUGGCCUGUGUGCUCAGUUUGGCAGAUGACCGCAUGCUGGGGCUCAGGGCUAGUGCCCAGAGGUACAUCCGACUCUCCUGAGCACAGGUGGGCUGUGGGUGAGGGGAGCAGGCCCCUUGGACCUGGCGGUGAUGGCCCACAGCCUCCAGCCCUCCCACCCAGGGCACGGCCCCAUCAGCCUUUGCACUCCAGGCUGCACCCCAUGUGACCCUGGGCUUGGCCGUGUCUAAGGCCAUAGUCAGGCCAGUCCAGUCCCCCAGGAACAGGCUGCUGCGAGUGGGCCAGUGGACUCGGGUGGGAGUGGAGUGUAGACAGGAGUGGGGUUGGGUUAGGGGCUCCGCAGAGCCUGGGCUGGGUUCCUCUGACACUGGGUUCAGAAGCCGCCUACUCCUGCCUGUCCUGUCUGUCCACUCCCUGUCCCUGUUCCUGUUCCAUCUCAGGCAGCAAGUACCCAGAUCUGCUUACUCCCCACAAGCUGUGCUCUUGGUGGCCUUGCCCCUUGGUGUCCUCCUUGCUCCUCAAGCUCAGAACUUCAUGUCCCCUAUGGUCUGCCCCAAAGGAAGUAGGGAACGCCAGGCCUAGCUCAGGGGCCACCCCAGGAGAAGGCUGAAUCCACCCCAAAGUUUCCAGCUCCCAAACUCAGCACAAAGACCCACAUGAUCUAGGAUGUCCCCAUUCCCUAUUCUCUAAUACCCAUGGCUGUACCCGAGCCUCGGAGCCCCCGGCUUCUGGCCAUCACAAAGUUCUCCAAUCUCAGCCACAGCCCUCGGAGCUGGGAGCCUGCGGCCCACCCCAGGACCAGGCCAGUGUUUGGACAUCGCCCUGCCCCAACUUCAAGGCUGCAGGCACGCAGCAGAGGCCUCACACCCACCUGGGGAGCAGAGGGGGGUGUUGGGAGGCAGGGUGGCCACACCCUCAUGGGGCCUACAAAGCUCCCCUGGGAAAGCUCCCUCAGCCUUGCCAACCCAGGAGUCCGGGGACCCGCCCCCGCGAACUCUCAGACUCAGUAAACUUGACAGGCGGGUCUGGCACGUCCUUGAGUCUUCAAGUCCAGGAGCCACUCCAGAGGGGGUGGCAGUUCCUGCUGCUGGGGAGGAAGAGACCAGGCAGGAGAGGGGUCUGGACAGAAACCCAGGCCAGGGCUGAGGCACCUUCAGGCCCCAGAUCCUCCAACUCCAACCCCAGGCUCGGGCUGCCAAGGAGAGCCCUAGGGUGGGUGUGCACAGCAGCCUGAAAUGUGAGGCCCCGAGAGCCCCAGCCCUGGACCCAAGUGACUGCCGGCCCCUGGGAGACCCCCUUCUCAGAAGCCCUGGCUGUGGUCAGCUCUGGAUAUUCUCCCGUGACUCUGGGUGGAGCCUCAAGGUCUAGACCCCACAGACCCCGCCCAGUGCAACCUCAGGACACACUUAAGCCACUUUGAGCAAUUUAUUGAGGUUUCAGUGGUGGGGUAGGGGAGGCAGCACACACACAUACACAGUGAAGGAUACCUCCCACGUGCAAGCACACACUCAGGGGUUGAACACA
Equus caballus (horse) is the source of this 2922-nucleotide long non-coding RNA. RefSeq lists it as uncharacterized. Lineage: Eukaryota; Metazoa; Chordata; Mammalia; Perissodactyla; Equidae. The record is from RefSeq and is a predicted model, not a curated record.